AUGAGUUUGCUCUGGGUCAUCCUCACAACAACCUUGCAGGGUAGAGAUGACUUUUCCUACUUUUCUAGGUUGUUGGGGGUUGUGGAGAGGGGACAGAG
Molecule: microRNA precursor, 98 nt
Filed under: Aotus nancymaae (Ma's night monkey)
Lineage: Eukaryota; Metazoa; Chordata; Mammalia; Primates; Aotidae
Description: miRNA (ENSANAG00000005663.1)
Source: RNAcentral